RNAcentral lists this transfer RNA (72 nucleotides) under Ovis aries (sheep). It matches the Rfam family "tRNA". From Rfam's summary of the family: Transfer RNA (tRNA) molecules are approximately 80 nucleotides in length. Their secondary structure includes four short double-helical elements and three loops (D, anti-codon, and T loops). Lineage: Eukaryota; Metazoa; Chordata; Mammalia; Artiodactyla; Bovidae. The record is from Rfam by way of RNAcentral.
UCCCUGGUGGCUCAGAGGUUAAAGCAUCUGCCUCCAAUGCAGGAGACCCAGGUUCGAUCCCUCGGUUGGGAU